AUGGAAUCCAGAGAGCUAUCGGUAGAGGAACAAGCGCUUAGGCGGCUGCUCAAGAAGAAACUACUCGGGUUGGCCUCACUUGAGAGGACGAUGGUGAGGCAAAGAUCAAGGAUCACGUGGCUCAAGGAAGGUGACGCAUGCACACAAUUUUUCCAUGCCCAAGCGAGUCAUAGGAGGAGGAGGUCCAUCACAUCGUUAAAUGUGGAGGGCACUCUGGUCUCGGAUCAUGAGGAUAAGGCAGAUGCGAUGGACGAGUUCUUCAACUUGUUGGGUUCCAGCCCGGAUAGGCGUGGAGAGGCCGUGGAGAUCAGAGACUACCGGCCGAUAGUUUCCCGGAGCUAG
RNAcentral lists this ribosomal RNA (342 nucleotides) under Triticum aestivum (bread wheat). RNAcentral describes it as "partial small subunit ribosomal RNA". Lineage: Eukaryota; Viridiplantae; Streptophyta; Magnoliopsida; Poales; Poaceae. The record is from RNAcentral.